UGGUGUGGCCUGCAAAGCCUAAAAUGUUUACUAUCUGCCCUCUGUUGAAGAAGUUUACUGACUCUGGUUCCAGAACAAUAGGGCCAUCAGCUGUAGCAGAGGUCAUUGCUACGCAUCCUCUCAGGCCCUCUCUCUACGUGCUGAAGGCGGUUUGCUGUGAAUACUUGGGUUCUCGGCUUGAAGGCUAUUUUCCUGGUUGUGUGAGGAUGUUUGAUCGCUGCCCGUUGGAAAGUCAGGCAUCAUUACCUCCAUAUGUGUACAAGGAAAGAAAAGCCACACGGAGACUUGAACAUACGCGAGGUCAGAGGGAGAAUAGGGCUGCUGUCAAUUUAAGGUGGGAUGCCACCCCUGCAUGGCUUGAUGAGCAGUGUGUAGGUCUGCGCCGAGGAUUUGACCCCGCAAAACCCAGGCUGCCAAAGCGGAGUGCACAAACUUAACCACUACGCCACUGGGCUGGCCCCUGUUUCAAGGUGUGAAACACUGACUUAAACAGCAUAUCUCCAAGCCCCAAGGAGGCCGGCUGUGCUUGGGUAACCCUGCCCAGAGGAAACCCGGACACGCUGCUGAGGAGGGCUUCUGGAGCCCAAAGGCUCAGCACAGAGCCUGGGAUUCUGCUAAAAGUCUCCUCUCCCUACAUUUCUGUGAAGAAUUUCCUUUUCCCACUAGUUUCAUAUGUAAUGUGGAAUUGCCUGUCAUUCAGAAAAACUUAAAAAAUAGAGCGUGGUGACAUCUGGCACAGAUCACACUUCUUUGUGAUUUGAUGAAAAAUUCAUGGUCUAUUAUAAUGUAAGACUUAUGCAUUGGAACUAUUAUAUCUCUAACAUAGGAUUCUGUGCUUUCAGCCCACAAUGCCGAAAGUACUCAAUUGUCACUUCUUCACAGAUUCAAUGGAAUAAGUAGAGAAAAUACAGCUCAGGGUAAUGAGGGGACGCUGCCACCACAGAUGAUGGUGUCAAUCCCUCUAUAAUCAACAGAUCUUCAUGUCACUUAUUCUAAACGUUAAAGAGGCCAACUAACAAAGAGUUCAUUAACAUUGUGCUCAAGUGAACAAAUACUCUGACCCAUUCACUGAUCUUCAAUGUCAUACCCCUUGUUUCAGUCAUGGUCCCAUCAGGAAAACAGAACUCAUAACAGUUGCUUUAACAGAGUGAAUUUAAUAUAAGGAAUUGGUUAAACUGGUGUUGGAGGAUGAAAAACAGGUAAAGACAACACGGAGGUAUCUCAGAGACAGCAACUGCUGGAAGCAGCCACUACCCCUAGGGCUUGGUGGGAAGAGGUUGGGGUUAUCUGAACCUAGAAGAUGGAAGGAAGGUCCCUGUGGGGCUGCAACCCAGAUCUGUGACUGGGAUUCUGAUCUGAUGUGAUGCUUCUGACAUGGCUGAGCAAGUGCAAUAAGGCUGGUCUGAUGUAGGACAAGAGCAGGAACUGGAACCAACUGCUAGGGCCAGAGGGAAGAGCCAUUGCUGGCGAGACGCUAACAGGAGCCACAAUAACCAAGAGGGAGCUCAGCUUGCUCCCUCCUCCAGGCUUGCUGUGUCCUUCUAGUGUUCCCUCAUGGCAGAGCCUAACAGGGAGCAGCUGGCACAGCAGAAAUGGAGAAGAGUGAGUUUGGGGCUGAGAGACAAUAGCUUAAUAAUUGGCACACUUCCCCUUGUUCUUCUGAGCAGAUAUCUCUGGUGUCCCUUGUUUUCCAUGAAAAGUAGGGGCUGUGAUGGAUGUCUGGAUAUGCUCAGCUCUGAAAGGCAGCCCCUAAUUUGGACGUGUUAAGGAACGAGGCUGGCAUGGCAUUUCCCAGUUCCU
Molecule: long non-coding RNA, 1800 nt
Organism: Equus caballus (horse)
Lineage: Eukaryota; Metazoa; Chordata; Mammalia; Perissodactyla; Equidae
Source: Ensembl